Molecule: long non-coding RNA, 3452 nt
Organism: Mustela putorius furo (domestic ferret)
Lineage: Eukaryota; Metazoa; Chordata; Mammalia; Carnivora; Mustelidae
Source: Ensembl
AAAGAAAAUGAGAAAUAACUUAAACAGUCUUAGCCAAACUCUGAAAAAGAUAUCUAGAGCAGCUGCUAUUUUUUCCUUCCCAGAAUGGUUUGCCUUUCCCCCAGUUUGAUGAUUGUUUUUAGAUUAUUUUGGGGCAUAAGAGGAGAAAGGAGGAGGGAACCCAGCCACUAGGAAGUAGCACGAUAAGGUUUGUCGUACCCUGUAAGCUUCAGAAAUUACACAGCUGUUUUAUACAUGCCGGCUUCCUCUCCUUUUCUGAUGCCCCUGACUGGUCUGUAAGGAAUUUAUUUAUGGCGUUCUCUUUAGGAGGCUGGUCAUAGCCCUUGGGUUCCCCCACCCAGUUCAGCCUGUCUUUGUGGUCUAUGGCUCAUCUCUCCAGAGCUUCCGUCACCGCGUGAAGGGUCCUCCAAUUAUCCAAAAAGAGUGCAAGAAAAUCUGUACAGUCAACCAGAUGGGCAGAGCACACUUGACUGCACUGAAAAAUUUCCAGCAGUAGGAUCCCCAGCUUGCCCUUUUGCUGUGAGUCAGUGCCCAAAGUCCACAAGCCUUUUCCCUGAGAUCUCCCCCUCCCUGCUGCCAGGCGGGUUUGGCUGGUUCCCAGAUACCCUGAGAAGGCGGGAGGAGGCAGCUUACAAAGUGGGGAUUCGCUGGACCCUCCUUCUCACCCCGUUCUGUGAUAUCUGUUCCCAAAACGAGCUGGAGGCGACAAAGGAACUGAAACCGAUUUGCCCACGGAUUUGUAUGGCAACAAAAUGUCUGUUGGGCACUUGAACACGGACAAGGAUAAACAGAUGUCUGAUAAGCCAUCUUGGAAAGACUAUGCUUUUGAUGACAUAUGGAGGCUCUAUCAUCUUACGGCUACCACCAUGUUGACUGUUCUGGAUUGUGUUCAAUAUACUGUUCUUUGUUCUGGUCCGUAAAGAGAGAUCUCAUGCUUGGUGGAAAGCUCAGCUCAAGAAGCUUUGAAAUGCAGAUUAGAUUAAUUACACUAGAAUUAUAUUUGAAAAUGGAAAAGAAGCAUUUUCUUUUCUUUUCUUCUUAAGGAUUUUAUUUAUCCACUUGAGAGAGAGACAGCACAGAGGGAGAGUGAGAGGGAAAAGCAGACUCUCUGCUCAGCCUCGUGUGGGCUGAUCCCAGAGCCUUGGGAUCACAACCUGAGCCCAAGGCAAAUGCUUAACUGACUGAGCCACCCAGGCGCCCGAAAAGAAGCAUUUUCUAAAAGGCAAAUUCCAAAUAUAUGCCUUUUCAAAGAAAGUGUCAUUUGGAAAGAAACUGAAUCACACCAUGAAAUCUGUGACAUUUCUUUUGGUUUCCACUCUCUUCUAUACUAGUGGUAGGCUCAUGUGAUAUGUAGAAAUUUGGUUAACCAAAUUUAGCUUGACUUCUCAAGUUAAGAAAAUGUAUAUGCAGUAUUUCUGAGAUAAGAAGAGGCACAUUCUUUUUUUAGCACCUAUACUUCCUAUGCUGCUGUUUUUGCCUUAUUCCCUUAUUUGAAAAUUUGGCUUUGCUUAUAAAAUCUACAAAUUUCUAUCUGUUUAGAACAGGGCUAGAAUAGCCUGGGAUCCUGUGGAACUGAAUGGUAUUUUAGACUGCUGAUUCUCAUUUUCUCUUCAAUAAAGAUCGCAACACAUUACUUAUAUGUAUUUUAUAGCUCACACCCUGGGGAUUACCCACCUGGGAAAGGGACCUGGAUUCUGGUGCAAGCCUUCUGUUUGCUGAGCUAUGUGUUGUUGAGCAAGUCAGAGGUAAUCAGAGGUAAAAUGAGGGAUUGUUGUCUAAAACUCCAUGAUUCUGUUGUUUAAGUAUAAUCAACUCGAGAGUUUGAUGAUUUCUUUGAAAAUUAAAAAAAAAUUCUAGUAACCUUAAAUGCAUACUGCUGAGCCCUAAAUUUAGUUUUGAAAUAAUGUAAGACAGGGAGAAAGGUUUGGGAGGUCCCUUCCUUUAUAUACAUUUUAUAAAGGGAUAUGUUUGUCUAAGGUAUCACCUGCCAAGAGUUAGGAAUCUAUAGAUGCUACCAGAAUUUGAGAUGUAGAGAUAAGGAUAAUGAUUUUUUUUUUUAAUUUGGAAAAAAAUGUAAAACAGAAACGAGUAUCUAAUUUUAUUGCCAAUAAUUUGUAGGACUGAAAGUGAUUACACUGUCAUACCCUUCUACAUUGAAUAAACACUGUGCAAAAGGAUCAGUUACAAUGCAGUAAUUUACCGGGAUUAAAAAGAGUCUCAUUUUUAAGAGCUCAUUUUAAGGGUUGUUGAUUUUUAAAUCAAUAUGCUUAUUGUUUCGUAGUUUAUCUUUUGCUUUGAGAAGCUUUCAGGAAAAGAAAUUUUAUGCAGGAAAUAUAUGUGAUCAUCUUUGUGAUGUGUUAAAAUUGAGAGAAAAUUAAACUUUAGUAAGAAAAACCAUACUAGAUGCAGAAAUAGACAAAGAACCACAUAUUAGAUAUAGAUUAGAUAUACUGUAUGAAGAUGAUUUUUUAUAAUGGCUUUUAAAAUUCAACCUUAAGAUACAGAUUUUUUUUUUAACUGAGGAUAGGAGAGCAAUGUAUUUGUGUUGGAAUUUAAUCACAUGUGUUUAUUCAUAUGGGUACAUCUACAUAUGUAUGCCUUUGUGUAUAUAAUUUAUGCUAUGUAUUAUGCAUAUAGUAUAUACACACGUAUGUCUGUUGGCAUUCUUGUCUAUUCUGUAGGAAGAAAAUGCUGCUAUAUUAAAAAAUGUCUAGCGUUCAGUUAAUUCUGAAAAAAAUCACAUUGUUUCUUUGGCUUUUUUUGUUACUUCCUGUUGGCCUAGUGGCAAUGACUCAUUGUAAUAUAAUGUAAUACACACAGUUUCCAGUAUCACAUGAUGACUAUAAAUGAAUAUAUAAGAAAUCUGGAACACUGUUCUUGUUUUAAAAAUGUAAACAUUGAACAGAAGCUUAUUCAUCAGAGAAUUUGAUGUCACUAAAUAGUAAGAGCUUUGAUUUCAGUAACUCUAAGACUCUGAUGGAAUUGAUCUUCAGUGAAGAAAAGAGACGGAAUUUUACUUUUUAAUAAUUAUUUUAUAGCUUAUAUGUAAAAACAAACAAAGAAAGCUUUUAAAUCAGUUCAUUGUCUCUUUCAGCAAAUAGGUCACUUUUAUCACAGGUGCUAAAAUAUGUUUUCCUAAUAUUAAGCUUAGGGGCACCUGGGUGGCUCAGUGGGUUAAAGCCUCUGCCUUUGGUUCAGGUCAUGAUCCCAGAGUCCUGGGAUCAAACCCCGUAUCGGGCUCUCGGCUCAGUGGGGAGACUGCUUUCCCCCAACCUCUCUCUGCCUGCCUCUCUGCCUACUUGUGAUCUCUCUCUGUCAAAUAAAUAAAUAAAAUCUUAAAAAAAAUAUUAAGCUUAUGUGAUACAUGUACUCAUUUCAAAGUUGGAAAAACAAAGUCCCCAAUGAUUAACUUGAGAGGGGAGAGGAGUAAACAGAAAUACAAACACAAAAGA